Gadus macrocephalus (Pacific cod) is the source of this 616-nucleotide long non-coding RNA. RefSeq lists it as uncharacterized. The record is from RefSeq and is a predicted model, not a curated record. Lineage: Eukaryota; Metazoa; Chordata; Actinopteri; Gadiformes; Gadidae. The transcript is spliced from 4 exons.
UUCAUGGAAGUUAGUGAGAGUUAACCUGUUCAUAAUAAUUAUUAAUAUAUUGAGUAAAAUGCAUGUUAAAGCCGUGCUGUGGUUUAUUUAGUGUCAUCCGUAAUCACCAAUGUGAUACUACAGCAACACGAUUUAGCAAAACUGUCAUGCCUUUUUUAUUGUCUAACUUUUAAGGAAUAAAUCGUUUUUAGAUGUGUUUCUAAUAUUAUGUUCUACCUUCAUGGUUCAGGGACUUCAACCACAGGCAUAUGGGAACGACUGUGGGAUCUCAUGAUUAUGGUAUACUCAGUCGCAGACUUAAAAUGUACUGAACAGAUAUAACAACGCGUGUGAAUGUUGUCACCAAUUACAUUUUUCCAUCACAGUAUGCUUGGUACCUUGCCAUGGAGGCACCGUUUAACUUCACUGUUGUAAUCAUGCCAGUCCUCAGAAAAUUGUGGUGCACAGUACUGCUUGAGAACUUCCACCUUGAUUGGCACGGCAGAAGGUUCCCACACUUCAUGGAGGAGGCCAAACAAAUGGCGGCUGGACUACUUCCACCAGUCUUCAGACUGAAGCGAAAAAGAGAAUGAGUUGGAGCUGAUGGCAGUCAGCAUGAAGAAGCUAUAUCUUUAAG